This 107-nucleotide small nucleolar RNA is filed under the name Gossypium hirsutum (cotton). RNAcentral describes it as "Plant small nucleolar RNA R71". It matches the Rfam family "Plant small nucleolar RNA R71". From Rfam's summary of the family: R71 is a member of the C/D box family of snoRNAs containing the C (UGAUGA) and D (CUGA) box motifs. Multiple nearly identical copies of this snoRNA have been identified in Arabidopsis, and it is thought to function as a 2'-O-ribose methylation guide for 18S ribosomal RNA. The record is from Rfam by way of RNAcentral. RNAcentral also lists the same sequence under 1 other name. Lineage: Eukaryota; Viridiplantae; Streptophyta; Magnoliopsida; Malvales; Malvaceae.
AAACCAUGCAUCGGGCAUUUUCUAAGUAAUUCUUUGAAUCUCUCCCAAACUUUAUACAAUGUCUCAUCCUCAGAUUGUUAAAAAGAUGUAAUAUCCUUCCUUAACUU